AUGCUGCUACCCAAGAUGGCUGAUGCAUGCGAGGUCACCUCCUUCCACCCAAUCAACUUGGUACACAGCUUCGGUAAGCUGUCCUCCAAGCUCAUGGCAACUCGACUCGCACCGCAGCUCCCGAGACUACUCAAGAGCAACCAAUCCGCAUUCAUCCACGACCGUUCAAUCCAUGACCACUUUUGGAUGGUCCAGCUCGCCACCAAGGUGCUCCAUGCCCGCCGAUCACCUGGCAUUGCUGCUCAAGAUCGACAUUGUCAAGGCUUUUGA
RNAcentral lists this ribosomal RNA (270 nucleotides) under Triticum aestivum (bread wheat). Its description in RNAcentral is "partial small subunit ribosomal RNA". The record is from RNAcentral. Lineage: Eukaryota; Viridiplantae; Streptophyta; Magnoliopsida; Poales; Poaceae.